UACGUAGGAUGCGAGCGUUGUCCGGAAUUAUUGGGCGUAAAGAGAACGUAGGCGGUUUCCUAAGUUUGGUCUUAAAGACCGGGGCUCAACCCCGGGAAUGGACUGAAAACUGGGAGACUCGAGGACGUCAGAGGAAGGUGGAAUUCCCAGUGUAGCGGUGAAAUGCGUAGAUAUUGGGAGGAACACCAGUGGCGAAAGCGACCUUCUGGGACGAUCCUGACGCUGAGGUUCGAAAGCUCGGGGAGCAAAC
This 250-nucleotide ribosomal RNA is filed under the name uncultured bacterium. RNAcentral describes it as "partial 16S ribosomal RNA". It matches the Rfam family "Bacterial small subunit ribosomal RNA", at positions 524 to 773 of the family's 1533-position model. The record is from RNAcentral.